UAGGGAAUAUUAGUAAUGGGCGAAAGCCUGAACUAGCAACGCCGCGUGUGCGAAGAAGGCCUUCGGGUUGUAAAGCACUUUUUGAGAGGAUGAGGAAGGACGGUACUCUCAGAAUAAGUCUCGGCUAACUACGUGCCAGCAGCCGCGGUAACACGUAGGAGGCGAACGUUAUCCGGAUUUACUGGGCGUAAAGCGCGUGUAGGUGGUUUGGUAAGUAGGGCGUGAAAGCUCCUGGCUCAACUGGGAGAGGCCGUUCUAAACUGCCGAACUAGAGGAUGGUAGAGGGAGGUGGAAUUCCGGGUGUAGCGGUGGAAUGCGCAGAUAUCCGGAGGAACACCAGUGGCGAAGGCGGCCUCCUGGACCAUUCCUGACACUCAGACGCGAAAGCUAGGGUAGCAAACG
RNAcentral lists this ribosomal RNA (402 nucleotides) under uncultured prokaryote. RNAcentral's name for it is "bacterial SSU rRNA". It matches the Rfam family "Bacterial small subunit ribosomal RNA", at positions 355 to 774 of the family's 1533-position model. The record is from RNAcentral.